GAUGAACGCUAGCGGCAGGCUUAAUACAUGCAAGUCGAGGGACAGCACAGGUAGCAAUACUGGGUGGUAACCGGCAAACGGGUGCGGAACACGUACACAACCUUCCUUUAAGUGGGGGAUAGCCCAGAGAAAUUUGGAUUAAUACCCCGUAAUAUAGUUGAAUGGCAUCAUUUGAUUAUUAUAGCUACGGCGCUUAAUGAUGGGUGUGCGGCUGAUUAGAUAGUUGGCGGGGUAACGGCCCACCAAGUCUACGAUCAGUAGCUGAUGUGAGAGCAUGAUCAGCCACACGGGCACUGAGACACGGGCCCGACUCCUACGGGAGGCAGCAGUAAGGAAUAUUGGUCAAUGGACGCAAGUCUGAACCAGCCAUGCCGCGUGAAGGAUUAAGGUCCUCUGGAUUGUAAACUUCUUUUAUUUGGGACGAAAAAGGGUCUUUCUAGGUCAACUGACGGUACCAGAUGAAUAAGCACCGGCUAACUCCGUGCCAGCCGCCGCCGUAA
RNAcentral lists this ribosomal RNA (500 nucleotides) under uncultured bacterium. RNAcentral describes it as "partial 16S ribosomal RNA". It matches the Rfam family "Bacterial small subunit ribosomal RNA", at positions 28 to 523 of the family's 1533-position model. The record is from RNAcentral.